GAACGCUGGCGGCGUGCCUAAUACAUGCAAGUCGAGCGGGGUUUUGCCACCGGAAGCUUCGGCGGAAGGGGGUAAAACCUAGCGGCGAACGGGUGAGUAACGCGUGGGUAACCUGCCCCAAAGACCGGGAUAACAACCCGAAAGGGUUGCUAAUACCGGAUGUGGCCACUGAGGCUGAGGCUUUAGUGGUUAAAGGCCUUCGGGCGCUUUGGGAUGGGCCUGCGUCCCAUUAGCUAGUUGGUGAGGUAACGGCUCACCAAGGCGACGAUGGGUAGCCGGCCUGAGAGGGUGGACGGCCACACUGGGACUGAGACACGGCCCAGACUCCUACGGGAGGCAGCAGUAGGGAAUUUUGCGCAAUGGGGGGAACCCUGACGCAGCGACGCCGCGUGGGCGAAGAAGGCCUUCGGGUCGUAAAGCCCUGUCCUUUGGGAAGAUAAUGACGGUACCAAAGGAGGAAGCCCCGGCUAACUACGUGCCAGCAGCCGCGGUAAUACGUAGGGGGCGAGCGUUGUCCGGAAUAACUGGGCGUAAAGGGUGCGUAGGCGGAUACGUAAGUCAGAUGUGAAAGGCGCGGGCUUAACCGGCGGACCGCAUUUGAAACUGCGUAUC
Molecule: ribosomal RNA, 612 nt
Filed under: uncultured bacterium
Lineage: Bacteria
Description: bacterial SSU rRNA
Rfam family: Bacterial small subunit ribosomal RNA
Source: RNAcentral